Molecule: ribosomal RNA, 227 nt
Filed under: uncultured bacterium
Lineage: Bacteria
Description: partial 16S ribosomal RNA
Rfam family: Bacterial small subunit ribosomal RNA
Source: RNAcentral
UGCGUAACACGUAUGCAACCUACCCAUAACAGGAGAAUAGCUCCCCGAAAGGGGAAUUAACCCUCCAUAGUAAUAUUGAAUGGCAUCAUUUGAUAUUUAAAACUCCGGUGGUUAUGGAUGGGCAUGCGUCUGAUUAGUUAGUUGGCGGGGUAAUGGCCCACCAAGACGAUGAUCAGUAGGGGAACUGAGAGGUUGAUCCCCCACACUGGCACUGAGAUACGGGCCAG